UUUUUUUUUUUUCAUAAUCCCAUUGGUUGGUUAGGUCUGCGAGGCGGUUGAAGACGAGCAAAGGCCUUUCCUGGGUGUAUAAAAUAAAACACCGACGAAGAGGCGGCAGACUCGAGGUGGUGGGAGUAGUGAACACCGCGAACGAGCUCCAAAGAUGAAAAGUGGGGGAAAGGCGGCGGCGGUGGCGGUGGCGGCGGCGGAAGCGUGGGAACCAAGCGUAACAGAUGGCCUCGACUGCUUCCGAACGAGCUCGGACUCCUUCGUGCGUCUUCGUGGGAUAGGGCCUGCUUUUCGCUCGCGCGUGCUCGACAGAAAGGUUGAGACGCAGACAUCAUCAUCGUCAUCCCCCUUUCGAAAGCAACCAACCACUGAGACCAUCCUCCGAGCCGGAAUGCUCGCAUCGGUCAGCUGCUCCUUGUGUAAAACUAAACUUCCUGUGCCACGUGUACAUCUGCUCCUCUUACAUAUACAUAUGAGCGAGUUUACGACUUGUGUAUGUGUCUGUUUAUAUGUGUAUAUAUUUUGAGCAAAGCGAAGGAGGAAAGAAAAAAAGGAAAGAGAAAAGAAUUAUGCUGCGAUGUAUUUAUGGCAGGCGAAAGGAUGGUUACGCAGUUGCACUUGGAAGACAAUGCGACGAUAAGAACGCUUUCAGAAGCAAAUGCAACGACCGGAUGUAAGUUUGCGAAACUUGCCUGAGCAAUUAACAAGGCUACUUUAUAUCUUUAAUUCUUCAUUUUACCGUAUGUGUUCAUUAAAAAAAAAAUAAUAAUAAUCCACUUAAGAGAAAAGUGUAUUUAUAAUUAUUUAUUCAGAUUAGUAUGUCCCUAGUCCAAACUAAAUUGGAUCCACAUGUGCUCAGCAUUGAAACGACUAUUUUUAGCUAAGAUAUUAGAGAAUAUAUGUGUCUAUGCAUAUAUAUAUAUAUAUGUAUGUAUGUAUGUAUGUAUGUAUGUAUGUGUAUAUAUAUAUAUACACAUUAAUAUACGUACUAAUCAUGCGUGCGUGAGUAUCAUUUGUAGAAGAUUUCAAUUAACUACAUCGUCGUCAUCGUCGAGCUGACAAAAGCGAAAACAAGGGACUAAUUGCGAGCGAUGGAAGGGGACCGGAAACUGAAACUAUUACGACCGGUUUUCGAGCCAGUCGAUUCAUCCAGUAUAUGCUUAUGUUAGUUAUAACCCUAAUGACGAAAACAUAUAAAACAUCUGCAAAGACACGCGUGAAACUACAUUUCGCUUUGCCUUCGAUCUUCGGUCUCGAUUCGAAAAUAUCAAUGAAUGACGAAAAUGCUCGAAUAAAAAGGAUUACUUAUAAAAAAAAAGAAACUAUUUGAUUAUGCAAACUCCCGUUUGAAACCAUUCCAAAUACGAAGUGAACACCUUGUAUUAUUUCUUACGUACGGUUGAGUAACCGCACGGUAGACACACGCACAUAUAUAUAUAUACAUAUUUACGUGGGUACGUCUCGGGCACUGGGAGACUCCUAUCAUAAAACGGCCGAGUGAAAGGAUAAGCCGCGAGUUCAUCUCGAGUCUCAACAAACCAAUCUUCUCGAGCAUUCAGACGUGCCAUCGAAGAGUCAUUUAAACGAUUGG
This is a long non-coding RNA of Vespula pensylvanica (western yellowjacket), 1591 nucleotides long. RefSeq lists it as uncharacterized. Lineage: Eukaryota; Metazoa; Arthropoda; Insecta; Hymenoptera; Vespidae. The record is from RefSeq and is a predicted model, not a curated record. The transcript is spliced from 3 exons.